GGGACUAAUAGGCUCACACAGAUUGCGCAUUCUGUGGUGCAGCACUCCCAAACUGCUUUCAUGCCGGAUAGAAACAUCCUUGAAGGGGUGGUCGUCCUUCAUGAAACGCUCCAUGAAAUCCAGUCCAAGAAGUUAGAUGGAGUCAUUUUUAAGGUGGAUUUCGAGAAAGCGUACGAUAAGGUUAAAUGGCCAUUUCUCCAACAGGCAUUGCGUAUGAAAGGUUUUGAUGAAGCCUGGCGACGUCAGGUUGAAUCAUUUACGCAAAAAGGGAGUGUGGGAAUUAAAGUGAAUGACGAUAUUGGUCAUUACUUCCAGACACAUAAAGGCCUUAGACAAGGAGAUCCGAUGUCCCCUAUCUUGUUUAACAUUGUGGUUGAUAUGUUAGCUAUCUUGAUAGGAAGGGCUAAGGAGAAUGGUCAAGUGGGUGGCUUGGUACCUCAUCUGGUUGAUGGAGGUGUAUCCAUCCUACAGUACGCUGAU
RNAcentral lists this ribosomal RNA (480 nucleotides) under Triticum aestivum (bread wheat). Its description in RNAcentral is "partial small subunit ribosomal RNA". The record is from RNAcentral. Lineage: Eukaryota; Viridiplantae; Streptophyta; Magnoliopsida; Poales; Poaceae.